UACGUAGGGGGCUAGCGUUGUCCGGAUUUAUUGGGCGUAAAGAGCGUGUAGGCGGCCAGGUAGGUCUGCUGUGAAAACUCGGAGGCUCAACCUCGAGACGUCGGCGGAAACCAUCUGGCUAGAGUCCGGAAGAGGAGAGUGGAAUUCCUGGUGUAGCGGUGAAAUGCGCAGAUAUCAGGAAGAACACCGGUGGCGAAGGCGGCAUCCUGGACCGACACUGACGCUGAGGAGCGAAAGCCAGGGGAGCAAACAGG
Molecule: ribosomal RNA, 254 nt
Filed under: uncultured bacterium
Lineage: Bacteria
Description: partial 16S ribosomal RNA
Rfam family: Bacterial small subunit ribosomal RNA
Source: RNAcentral